UGAUCUGUGACCUUACCCCCAACCCCGUGC
This 30-nucleotide non-coding RNA is filed under the name Homo sapiens (human). The record is from RNAcentral. Lineage: Eukaryota; Metazoa; Chordata; Mammalia; Primates; Hominidae.